This 234-nucleotide long non-coding RNA is filed under the name Elaeis guineensis (African oil palm). RNAcentral describes it as "long non-coding RNA (EGUI_LNC064525)". The record is from RNAcentral. Lineage: Eukaryota; Viridiplantae; Streptophyta; Magnoliopsida; Arecales; Arecaceae.
CAGGUCAGUAAGAGAUUUGAAGAAAGUGAAAGAUUUCUUAAUGUUGGAAAUGGAAGAUCAGUUUCAGUUCUAGUGUCAGGGAUUAUUAAGUUUGUAUUCAAGUCGAAUGUAAUUAUUCUUAAUGAAUAUCAUUUUUAUCUUUUUUUUUAUUGAAUAUUAUUUUUGUAGGCCUCUUGGCCACGUACGAUUAUAAAAUUUUAAUAAAAAAAAUAAUUUUAAUAUCAUGAUUAAUGG